UGCAAGUCGAGCGGACAGAAGGGAGCUUGCUCCCGGAUGUUAGCGGCGGACGGGUGAGUAACACGUGGGUAACCUGCCUGUAAGACUGGGAUAACUCCGGGAAACCGGAGCUAAUACCGGAUAGUUCCUUGAACCGCAUGGUUCAAGGAUGAAAGACGGUUUCGGCUGUCACUUACAGAUGGACCCGCGGCGCAUUAGCUAGUUGGUGGGGUAAUGGCUCACCAAGGCGACGAUGCGUAGCCGACCUGAGAGGGUGAUCGGCCACACUGGGACUGAGACACGGCCCAGACUCCUACGGGAGGCAGCAGUAGGGAAUCUUCCGCAAUGGACGAAAGUCUGACGGAGCAACGCCGCGUGAGUGAUGAAGGUUUUCGGAUCGUAAAGCUCUGUUGUUAGGGAAGAACAAGUGCGAGAGUAACUGCUCGCACCUUGACGGUACCUAACCAGAAAGCCACGGCUAACUACGUGCCAGCAGCCGCGGUAAUACGUAGGUGGCAAGCGUUGUCCGGAAUUAUUGGGCGUAAAGGGCUCGCAGGCGGUUUCUUAAGUCUGAUGUGAAAGCCCCCGGCUCAACCGGGGAGGGUCAUUGGAAACUGGGAAACUUGAGUGCAGAAGAGGAGAGUGGAAUUCCACGUGUAGCGGUGAAAUGCGUAGAGAUGUGGAGGAACACCAGUGGCGAAGGCGACUCUCUGGUCUGUAACUGACGCUGAGGAGCGAAAGCGUGGGGAGCGAACAGGAUUAGAUACCCUGGUAGUCCACGCCGUAAACGAUGAGUGCUAAGUGUUAGGGGGUUUCCGCCCCUUAGUGCUGCAGCUAACGCAUUAAGCACUCCGCCUGGGGAGUACGGUCGCAAGACUGAAACUCAAANGAAUUGACGGGGGCCGC
Molecule: ribosomal RNA, 885 nt
Filed under: Bacillus zhangzhouensis
Lineage: Bacteria; Bacillati; Bacillota; Bacilli; Caryophanales; Bacillaceae
Description: bacterial SSU rRNA
Rfam family: Bacterial small subunit ribosomal RNA
Source: RNAcentral